GACGAACGCUGGCGGCGUGCUUAACACAUGCAAGUCGAACGGAAAGGCCCUGCUUUUGUGGGGUGCUCGAGUGGCGAACGGGUGAGUAACACGUGAGUAACCUGCCCUUGACUUUGGGAUAACUUCAGGAAACUGGGGCUAAUACCGGAUAGGAGCUCCUGCUGCAUGGUGGGGGUUGGAAAGUUUCGGCGGUUGGGGAUGGACCCGCGGCUUAUCAGCUUGUUGGUGGGGUAGUGGCUUACCAAGGCUUUGACGGGUAGCCGGCCUGAGAGGGUGACCGGCCACAUUGGGACUGAGAUACGGCCCUGACUCCUACGGGAGGCAGCAGUGGGGAAUAUUGCACAAUGGGCGGAAGCCUGAUGCAGCAACGCCGCGUGCGGGAUGACGGCCUUCGGGUUGUAAACCGCUUUCGCCUGUGACGAAGCGUGAGUGACGGUAAUGGGUAAAGAAGCACCGGCUAACUACGUG
This 468-nucleotide ribosomal RNA is filed under the name uncultured bacterium. RNAcentral's name for it is "partial 16S ribosomal RNA". It matches the Rfam family "Bacterial small subunit ribosomal RNA", at positions 28 to 507 of the family's 1533-position model. The record is from RNAcentral.